ACAACAACAACCUCCCCAAAUCCCAAUAUUCUCUCCUCAAAUCUCUCCAACUAUCCCUCCUUAAUUCUCUCUAUGACCAAUUCAAACUCCAUUUAGCAGUAUUUCAAUCCAACUCUACCACGCACAUGAAUUAGGCAGCAAAAUAAAUACUCCUUUUUUGAUGCAUCACCACUCGAACCUUAGACCCCAUGUACACUCCACACGCCCC
This 208-nucleotide long non-coding RNA is filed under the name Gossypium raimondii (Peruvian cotton). RNAcentral's name for it is "long non-coding RNA (GRAI_LNC001965)". Lineage: Eukaryota; Viridiplantae; Streptophyta; Magnoliopsida; Malvales; Malvaceae. The record is from RNAcentral.